Homo sapiens (human) is the source of this 3992-nucleotide long non-coding RNA. Ensembl annotates it as DPH5 divergent transcript. Its record names the gene DPH5-DT. The record is from Ensembl. NCBI's taxonomy places the organism in Eukaryota, Metazoa, Chordata, Mammalia, Primates, Hominidae.
GACUAGCGGGAGGGGGCCGGGCUAGCGGGCUACUGGGCUGCGGAGACCAGAGCCCGGCUCCACUGAAGAAACCCGCCGGCUGCUGGGGCAGGGCGGCGAAAGGUCAGUCGGCCGAGAGGAGUCCGUGGAGCCACCGUUUCAUAGCCUCAGGGAAAGGAUCGGGCGUGCUCACGAGCCCUCUAACCCAUGGCUUAAACACCCGCUUCCUAAGCCUGGCCUCUCAAGCACUGUGAAAAAUCACUUUCUCUUGUUGUAUUCUUGGAGCCCCUGCUAAUUCAUUAUUGAAAAAUACCUGCUGCCUGCAUUUGGCCUUAUGUUGUCAUUUACUUGGUACUUCCUAAGCGUGGCUACUCCAAUGAAGCUUUAGUAUAUGUACUGAAAGAAGAUCCUCUCAUACUGCCACAGCCAAGAGAUAAGGUUGUAAAUCUUUAUUGGGAGAAGCCGUCAAGGACAGUUCUGUGAAAUGAAAGGAUCUCUGGAUCACCACAAAGUCUGGCUCAGUGACUAUGGCUUUGCAAACACUAAACAUUCCUGUCUCAAGUCCUGUAGAUGGCUUGAAAUAGUAUACAUAAGCAUGCCUUAUAAACAUCUUCAGUCUUUAUCAACUCUUUGGAGAUUCAGCCAUUCUUUUUUGUACUUUAGGGAAUUAAAUCAUUUUAUAAUGUAUAAAUCUGAGCAUGGCCGAUGGCAGAAGAAAUUUUGUCAUACGUUUUUAAAGAAAUAAAAAUGUAUUAUGUUUUAAAAUUCCUUUAACUGUUUUUCUUACAAAAUUCCCAACAACUUAGUUACCAAGUAAACUAUCUCAGAUAUGAUUUUUCAGUCCUUGCUAAUCUAUUUAUAAAAUCUUUUGCUAUUUUAUAAUCUUAUUAUUUGUGUCUGUCCUUAAGUGUUCAUUUGUUUUUAUGUCUGUGUAUGUCAUGUUUAUUUGAGCUGUUUAAUGUAAAGUAAAACAAGAACUCCCUGCAUCUUAUAGCAUAAAAAGCAAUGUUUUUCAUAUUCUUACCCUAAUAGAAACCCUCAUUCACAGAGUGAUGGCUAAUGCUCUACCUUUCUGCAAUUCCUAGUCAGAGAACUGUCCAAGUCUCACAUGACCUGCAUCUUGAAGAAGAAACCUAUCACGAGUUAGUUCUUAGCUAUACAGGUUAACAAACUCAAAUGACCCACUAACUAAAUCUUGAUUCUUAACAAAAACACUAUGGUCUAUCAUCAUAACAAUGUCAAUUUCUCACAUUAUCAUUUUGAAUCAACAAUAUGCCAUCAUAUCAAAGAGAACUUAUCAUAUUAGCAUAUUGAAUAUAAAAUUACAGUGCAGCUAGUUCCAAGACCUGAAUGAGUGUGGUAUAUAAAAAGAGCAGUGGAUUAGAAAUAAGGCAAUCUGACGUGCUUAUCUCAGUUCUGCUGAUACUUGCUAUGUGUAUUUAAGGCUAAUUAUUUAAAUGGGCUUUAUUUAAAAAGGGAAAAGAAGUAGAGGCAUGCCCAUUCCUUUUAAGAAUAUGACCCGGAAUUUCCGUGUAUCAUCUCUGCUCAUGUACCUUUGGCCAGAGCUUAAUCAGUUUGUCCCAGGUAGUAGGAAAGGAGGCUGGAAUAUGUGGCCUUUAGCUGAAACUUCGAGGAUUCUAAAGGAAUUGGACUAUUGAAAGACAAGUAAUAGUCUUUGCCAUUGCUCUCUUAUCAGGAAAGCAAAUGUUCUUUCAGACCCUCCUCCCCUGCCCCACUGAGUGAUUCCAUCAGAUGAAUCACCAUCUAUGGCAGAUAGACCCUUAUGAAAUCUGUAUGCAGCAGAUUUCUACUUAGGCCAUAAUUGAGCAUAUAGUUACUCCUAGAUUUAAAAAAGCUGGGGAAGCAGGAAACAGGAUUGACAUGAUUGGCUUUGACCAAAGUUUCACAGACUUUCUUGGUGCACAGCUCCCUUGGGUUCUUAAUUUUUUUCGUGGUACCAAAAGAAAUACAUAAAAGUUUCAUAUACAAUUCAAUAAGCAUUUGAACUAUGACACAUAAAUUGAAAGAGAAGUAAUACCUUGUUCAUUCUUAGAUAACCACAGUUACUACUGGGCUAUAUAUACCUGUUGGGCACUCUACAACUUCUCAAACCUUGGACUCAGAUUGGAUGGUGCCACCCUAUGUCUUGCCAGACAGUGCUUGCUUUUCAUCACAGCAACCACUGAAAACCCAGCUUUGCAAUGACAUCAAUGACAUAAUAUUCUAAAGAAAUGUAGCAUGGUCUAAUGUGGAAACUGUGAAUCACCCCAAGCUAAUAGUGGGCAUGCUAUCUGCCAGAAGUUAAGUCCCUAUUUCCCUUGAAAAUUUGAAUAUAUUAUAGCUCCCCCAGUGAGUUUACUUUAGCACCCUUGAGGGCUGGGCACACAGUUUGGGAACCAUGGGCUUAGACUAAUCAUCGUUUAUUUUCUGGGCUGGACAUAUUGCUCCCUAGACAAGAAUUAGUUUUUUAGAGGGGAAGAAAGAAGAAUGGAAAAUAUUUAGGAAACCGACUAUUUCUGCCUCCUUCUAUUCCAGCUAAACUACAUGAUCUUUAAGAAGAGAGGCUAUGUCUGUUUUUACACACUUUUCUGUGGCAUAGUUCUGGGUAUUUCAAAGAACAUAGAGGCUUGGUACAGUGGCUCAAGCCUGUAAUCCCAGCACUUUGGGAGGCUGAGGUGGGCAGAUCCCUUGAGGUCAGGAGUUCAAGACCAGCCUGACCAACAUUGCAAAAUACCAUCUCUACUAAAAAAUACAAAAAUUAGUCAGGUGUGAUGGUGCACACCUAUAGUCCCAACUACUUGGGAAGCUGAGGCAGGAGAAUUGCUUGAACCUGGGAGGCGGAGGUUGCAGUGAGCUGAGAUCAUGCCACUGUACUUCAGCCUGGGUGACAGAGAAAGACUCCAUCUCAAAAAAGAAAAAAAAGAACAUACAUAUUUAUUAAAUGAUUAAGAAAUGAAGUUUAUAUGAUCAAUGAAAUAUGAUUAAUAACAUUAACCAACCAUAAAAUGCCAGAUUAUAGGAAAUUUGUUGCCUAUACAACAGGCUUCUGUGUAAAUUCAAGGGCCUGGACUAUGCCUUCCUAAUUUCUUACCACCAGUGCCCAAUAAUUGUUUGGUAUAUUGUAGGUGAGAGAAAAAUGUUGUUCAGAUGAAUUGGUGAAUGUCUCAGUGAGAGCUAGUUCUGUUCCCAAACACCAUUACAAAGGAGUUGCAUUACACUGCUAAUGAAAAUGCUUAUUAGUGGACUCUUAAUGUAAAUGCUCAUGUUGACUGCCAAGAAAGAAAAAUAACCACUUUAUCUUAUCACUAUGGAUCUAGGGCUUUUUUUGUUACCACAGUCACCACUAGAAAAACUGACAAAAAGAGAAAAGCAGAACUAUUCUGAGAUAUAAGAUGAACUUUUCUUAGAAUGGUUUAUAUUGUCAGCAGCUAAACUGUUUCAGUAUUCAGGAUUAUUACAUAAAGCCGGGAAAGUGACUAUUUUCAAAAGAGCUACCAAACUUUAUGACAGUCAUUUGAGCAAAAUGUAUCUUUCUCCUUUUUCUUGUUCCAUAGCCUAAAUAGGCUUUUCUCUGUUUUGAUGGUUUUGCCAUUCAAGCUCAUUCUGUUUUCUUGGGAAGCUAUGCAAGCUCUUUGGUUUCUGUGAUUGUAAAGUGUAUGGCUCUGUGACAACUCCAUGGAAGAAUGUGUAUGUGCAAGCGCUUUAGAUUUGUCUAGAUCUAAAAAUUUUCUAUGGUUAUUUGAGUUUUUUCAGUAAUAUAUUUAGAAAAUUAUUUAUGUCUCUGUCUGUAUUACUAAAUCAAAAGUAUUUUGAAGGCAGGGACUAUGUCCUUUUCAUUUUUGAAUCCCCAGAGCAUUGCAUCUGAACCCCCAAGACCUGGUACAUAGUAGGUACCCAAUUCAUAUUUGUCGAGUUAAUAAACUCUUUCUUAGCAAAAUUUUCCCAAUAGCACAGUACAGAGUUUGUUCAUGAUAAAUACUGAAUGUAUUUUUAUUUUGUGAGAGCCUAAAUCA